RNAcentral lists this ribosomal RNA (498 nucleotides) under uncultured bacterium. RNAcentral describes it as "bacterial SSU rRNA". It matches the Rfam family "Bacterial small subunit ribosomal RNA", at positions 28 to 522 of the family's 1533-position model. The record is from RNAcentral.
GAUGAACGCUAGCGGCAGGCCUAAUACAUGCAAGUCGAGGGGCAGCGCGGUAGCAAUACUGGCGGCGACCGGCGCACGGGUGCGUAACACGUAUGCAACCUACCUUCAACUGGAGGAUAGCCCGGGGAAACUCGGAUUAAUACUCCAUAACACAGGGAUCCCGCAUGGGAAUAUUGUUAAAGCUACGGCGGUUGAAGAUGGGCAUGCGUUCGAUUAGCUAGUUGGUGUAGGUAACGGCUCACCAAGGCUACGAUCGAUAGGGGGUCUGAGAGGAUGAUCCCCCACACUGGUACUGAGAUACGGACCAGACUCCUACGGGAGGCAGCAGUAGGGAAUAUUGGUCAAUGGGCGCAAGCCUGGAACCAGCCAUGCCGCGUGCAGGAAGAAGGGCCCCUCUGGGUUGUAAACUGCUUUUGAUAGGGACAAUGCCACUUGCGAGUGGAGCUGAGUGUACCUAUAGAAUAAGCACCGGCUAACUCCGUGCCAGCAGCCGCGUAA